Molecule: ribosomal RNA, 393 nt
Filed under: uncultured bacterium
Lineage: Bacteria
Description: partial 16S ribosomal RNA
Rfam family: Bacterial small subunit ribosomal RNA
Source: RNAcentral
AUACGAGGGGUGCAAACGUUGUUCGGAAUUACUGGGCGUAAAGGGAGCGUAGGCGGAGAUUCAAGCGGAUUGUACAAUCCCGGGGCCCAACCCCGGCUCUGCAGUCCGAACUGGAUCUCUUGGAUAGUUCAGGGGCAGGCGGAAUUCCUGGUGUAGCGGUGGAAUGCGUAGAGAUCAGGAAGAACACCGAUGGCGAAGGCAGCCUGCUGGGGACUUAUCGACGCUGAGGCUCGAAAGUGCGGGUAGCAAACAGGAUUAGAUACCCUGGUAGUCCGCACCGUAAACGAUGCAUACUGGGUGUCCGGGGGUUCCCCCGGGUACCGUAGCCAACGCGUUAAGUAUGCCGCCUGGGGAGUACGUACGCAAGUAUGAAACUCAAAUGAAUUGACGGGG